UACAGAGGUCUCAAGCGUUGUUCGGAUUCAUUGGGCGUAAAGGGUGCGUAGGCGGCGCGGUAAGUCGGGUGUGAAAUCUCGGAGCUUAACUCCGAAACUGCAUUCGAUACUGCCGUGCUUGAGGACUGGAGAGGAGACUGGAAUUUACGGUGUAGCGGUGAAAUGCGUAGAUAUCGUAAGGAAGACCAGUGGCGAAGGCGGGUCUCUGGACAGUUCCUGACGCUGAGGCACGAAGGUCAGGGGAGCAACGGG
RNAcentral lists this ribosomal RNA (252 nucleotides) under uncultured bacterium. RNAcentral's name for it is "partial 16S ribosomal RNA". It matches the Rfam family "Bacterial small subunit ribosomal RNA", at positions 524 to 775 of the family's 1533-position model. The record is from RNAcentral.